CAAUAUUGUAUUUACCUAUAAACUUCAUGCAUUUACCAAAACAGGAAGUUCAUAGUUCUUUGGAGUUUCAUUGCCGGUUAUAUAUAAAACUACAUGUGAAAUGCAAAGACUGAAUUACAGACCUUUGUCAUUUUGAACGUCAAUGUUCGGUACAAGCUAGUGGAAGAUAAAUUUCUCAACAAAUCUUUGGCGACUCUCAUGAAUUUCUAAUUGAGUUUCUUUUGGUGCAUUUUGAAUCGAGCGAUAAUAAUGAUCUUUUUCUUAAUAACCAAGUAAAAUAUACCAUCAUCAUCAAAUCAAUUCUUUUAAGUUGAUCAAGCAUGGAUUAUAAGCAUGACUAAUAGAAAAUACAUUAUAUCCUUGCACAUAAGCAUCAUCCUCAGAUUUUUAAAAAAUAUUCAGCAAUAUAUACAAAUUCCAAGGUUUUAGAACUCCGCUCAAGCUCCGGACUCCACCCUUGCUCUAGCUGAGGAAUUCGGACAUGUCAGAGUGGACUUGCCCAUGUUUAGCCUAGCGUAACAAAUGGCCAAAAAAGAAAAGUACAAAAAGCGCAAAAAUAAGGAAAAAAAAAAUUAAAGUUAAUUACAUCAAACAAAAAGAAUUUUGAUGUCAUUGGCUUAUAAGAAAAAUGAACAAUUAGGAAAAACACGAAUAAUUAAAUAAAAAAAUAAAAAAUAAAAAAUAAGAUCUAUAAAUUGCUUUUUUUCUAAUUUUCGUUAAGGAACUAGCCUAUGGAUGGAUCAGGAACGCAAAUAUGGUCCUAAGCCUCAAUUUUCAUCGAAGAUAGGCAAUUGGAAUUGAAGAAAUCGAAGCUUUCCAAAAUAGAGUAAAUAAAUCCCCAAUUUUUCAAUCUUCCUCAUGCGAGAAAUAUAUGCAUCUAGUUUGUAGGUGUAAUAAGUUUGUAGGUAAAUGUGAAAUAUUGGCUCAAAAGGGCCUACGACGAAGUUUUGUGAAGAUGGGGGCCGGAUUUCCAUCCCUUCUAUUUUCAAUCACAAUUUACAAUACUCGAGCAAGUAUUGCACGAACUCACCCAAGAACUGUCAUGCCCGAGUUUUAUGUUAGGUUUGGUGAUAGCCAAAAUCACCACUCCUAUAUUUUCCUAAAAGAAGUAAGGGGUAUAAUGUUAAUUGGGUAAAAGGAAAAGGGACUUUCUUUUGAGCACUACAUAUUUUGUCACUUUUGGGACGUGUUUUUUUGGUGGAAGCCGCAGCUUCCACAAACUAUAGCACUCAUUCAUAAGGGUAGCAAUGGACCCAAACCCGACAAUCGGACCCGAUCAGGGUCCAGUUAUGGGUCCAAAAAUUGGACCUCGCAGAUCA
RNAcentral lists this long non-coding RNA (1319 nucleotides) under Amborella trichopoda. RNAcentral describes it as "long non-coding RNA (ATRI_LNC005116)". Lineage: Eukaryota; Viridiplantae; Streptophyta; Magnoliopsida; Amborellales; Amborellaceae. The record is from RNAcentral.